Molecule: long non-coding RNA, 3407 nt
Organism: Phasianus colchicus (ring-necked pheasant)
Lineage: Eukaryota; Metazoa; Chordata; Aves; Galliformes; Phasianidae
Source: RefSeq, a predicted model, not a curated record
GUUUAUCAAUACUAUUUAAUUUUAAGUCUUGAAUAAUACAGUAUCUUCUUCACCGUUUAUGCUACCUAUAUUGCUUCUGAAGCAGACUUACCAUGUGAUUGAAUAAAAGUAUACUAAUGUCUGAGGUGCUUGGAUUAAAAAAUAAAAAUCUAAUAAUCAGUAUGGGGUUCAAUUAGACUUCUACAGAAUAGAUGAAUCUUAUCCAUUGGUGCCUUCAAGGACUAGAGAUUUUAAAUAGAUGACAGUGAAGUUCAACAGAAAAGUACACAUAAGUAAAAAGUUCUGGUUUAAUAAACUAUAGUCUCAUUGUCAAGCCUUGCCCUGUCUCAGCACAUUAUUAUAGAAUGUUCAUUCAGGCAGGAAUUAAAAGAUGCAUCUGCAUUGAUAAUAACAACGAAUAAUUAAGAAAGCUUGACUGCAAUCUGCUUGAGGAUUCCAGUCUGAAGUGUGUUCCACUUGAUUACAACUGGGAAUUUCUUAAUUUCACAUUUAGAAUCAUUGCACCUCUUACUAAACACAUAGCUAAUCACCACUGAAAACCUAGAUACAGUUUCUUAAGUGUACAGACUAACUACAUGUUGAUUAACAUUCAGACAGAUUGUUCAUGUGUCCUUUUAGAAACUGGACUAUAGUAGAGUAAUAGGUAUAUAUUUGGGGAUAUUAGGAUAACAUGUGAUUAGCCUUUUAAGACAGCCCAAGCAGACCAGAUAAGUAGAUUGAACAGCUGAAUGGGUCAUCAGUGUUCAGAGACUUCACACAGUCAUCUGCAUGUUUAUGGACUUAGCCCCAGUCUGCUCUUUUUCAUGAAGGCAAGGAGGCCAAGAGAAGAUGGAUUGGCAUAGUUCUGGUACAAACAGGAACUGCAGGGUGACCACACCUAUAUAUACAAGGCUGUGCCUACAUAUAGUGACAGCAGGGUUUCGAUGUAAGCAAAUUCCCAAGGGACCUGAGCUAUGCCAGUUAUUUAUCACAUGUUUAAAUAAGCCUUGAAAGUCUAGGAUGUCUGUCACGUUCUGGAAUCCACACUGAUGAUGCAGUUGCUGUGUCAGAGCAGUUGGCAGAGUCACAGAGGGAACUAUGAAGUAGUUGGCCCAGGGAGCGUACAACAAGGCCUGCAGUGCUCAGCCAGCCCAGGCCAAAGGAGAGCACAGGACUGAGCAGAGGCAGAGGAGAGAGGGGAGGAAAGAGGGCAAAGAAGGAAAGGCCUGGGUCCUGGGCAGGGAAUCAGGGGCGGCUGUGAUGCAACAGACUGUGCGUCCUCCUCCUUUCUUUUUGAGUGCCAGAGGCCAAGAGGACAACGUGCCCAGACCUUGGAAUGCUCCCGUCUUACGCUGCUCAGAUGGAGAGGUGUUGCACAUUCAACAAGAACACUGAUACAAAGAUAAGUAAUCAAAAUAACACCAGCCUGAAUGUACUUGUAGGCAUCAGCUGCUGACCACAAACUUGGUGAUACCAUGGGCAUGGCAGAGCAAGUACAAUGUUGGCAUUUCCCUGUGUCACACAGGCACUGGAGACAUGGCCAGCAUUGGGAGAUCAUAAGAAUCUCCAGGCUAGAGGAGUGCAGAAUAGUGAGCUGAUGUUGAGAGGGACAGAUGAGAACAUGCCCGGACCAUGAAACCCUCCUGUCCUCUGCUGCUCAGCUGGAGAGAUGUUCCACCUUCCUCAAGGACACCGAUACAGAGAUAUGUAAUCAAAAUAAGUCCAGGCUGGCUGUACUUGUGGGCAUCAGCUGCUGGCAACUGCCUGGGUGAUGACAUGGGCCUGCCACAUCAGGCAGAACACAGAAAAUUGUCUAUGUCACACAAGCACUGGUGACAUGGCUGCCAUAGGGAGAUAGUAGAAAAGGCUGCACCCCUCUCCCAGCCCCGCCUAGAAAAGAGCAAAAUAUUGCGCAGUGACAAAAGUGAGAGAGUGGGACAGAUGUUUUGGAAAGGAAGGGCUGGGAGCUGGGCAUGGAGCCAGGGGAGGCUGUAAUGCUACAGAUUGUGUCUCCUCUUGUUUUGUCUUUGAGAGCCAGAGGCCUAGAAAAGAACGUACCCAGAUCUUGGAACCCUCCUGUCCUCUGCAGCUCAGAUGGAGAGAUGUCCCACCUUCUGCAAGGACAUCAGCACAAAGAUAUGUAAUCAAAUAAGUCCAGGCUGGCUGUACUUGUGGGCAUCAGCUGCUGGCAACUGCCUCUGUGCAGCCAUGAGCAUGGCACAGCAGGUGCAAUGUUGACAGUUCCCUGUGUCACACAGGCACUGGUGACUUGAAAGCUUAAGGGAGAUAAUCGAAAGAGCUGCACCCUUCUGCCAGAUUAGGCAAAGGUGAAUGUGAUGUUGUUUCAACGCUGCAAUGUGAUGGCAGGAAGGACUGUGAGGAAGGGAAAGGUGAGGGUUUGCCAUGGGCAGGGAAACACAUCUGGUUUUGAUGCUUUCUUUGUCUUUGAGUGUCAGAGGCCUAGAAGAGAACCUGCCCAGACCUUUGAAGACUCCUGUCCUCCGCUGCUCAUCUGGAGAGAUGUCCCACCUUCUACAAGGACAUCAGUACAAAGAUAUGUAAUCAAAAUAAGUCCAGGCUGGCUGUACCUGUGGGCAUCGGCUGUUGGCAUUUGCCUUGUUAAUGCCAUGGGCAUGGCAGAGCAGGUACAAUGUUGACAAUUCCCUGUGUCACACAGGCACUGAUGACUUGACAGCCAUAGGGAGGUAAUAGAAAGAGCUGCACCCUUCUGCCAGAUUAGGCAAAGGUGAGUGUGAUGUUGUUUCAAUGCUGCGAUGUGAUGGCAGGAAGGACUGUGAGGAGGGGAAAGGUGAGGAUUUGCCAUGGGCAGGUAAACACAUCUGGUUUUGAUGCUCUCUUUGUCUUUGAGUGCCAGUGGCCUAGAGGAGAAUGUGCCCAGAUCCUGGAACCUUCCUGUCCUCCAUUGCUCAUCUGGAGAGAUGUCUCACCUUCUACAAGGACAUCAGUACAAGGCUACGUAAUCAAAAUCAUAGCUGCCUGUUCGUGCUUUUAAGCAUCUGCACCACAGCCAGUGAUGCAUUUCUCAUGUCUUAUUGGGCAACUUAUUGAUUGUGGCUUAGUAACUUGGGUAGCAUAGGAGAAGUGUCCUCUGGCUGCCUUGAGAUAUGGAAUUGAUAGGCUUGAACUUCAGUAAGAUUUGCACUUGGGAAUGGAGGACUGCUUAUCCUUUUGUUGGUUCAUAUUAUCCUGUUUUUAAAACCACAGGCCCCUCCUGCCCACACCCUGCUUUGACACUCUGCCAUUGGUUUCUGCAGCCAUCUCUAAACACACAGACUUAAGAAGCAGGAAACAGCCUCAGCCUGUACCUCACCAUGCCCUCAGCUGGAAACUCCCCAUAGCUCUGGACAGAAGAUCUUCAUCACUUGGUCACAUUACAAUUUUAUGUUUCAUAAAUUUGUUGCCUGUAU